This 221-nucleotide ribosomal RNA is filed under the name uncultured bacterium. Its description in RNAcentral is "partial 16S ribosomal RNA". It matches the Rfam family "Bacterial small subunit ribosomal RNA", at positions 109 to 334 of the family's 1533-position model. The record is from RNAcentral.
AGUAAUGUAUGGGGAUCUGCCUGAUGGCGGGGGAUAACUACUGGAAACGGUAGCUAAUACCGCAUAAUGUCUACGGACCAAAGCGGGGACCUUCGGGCCUCGCGCCAUCAGAUGAACCCAUAUGGGAUUAGCUUGUAGGUGAGGUAACGGCUCACCUAGGCGACGAUCCCUAGCUGGUCUGAGAGGAUGAUCAGCCACACUGGGACUGAGACACGGCCCAG